CAAGUCGAGCGGGGAAAGGUAGCUUGCUACCUGACCUAGCGGCGGACGGGUGAGUAAUGCUUAGGAAUCUGCCUAUUAGUGGGGGACAACAUUCCGAAAGGAAUGCUAAUACCGCAUACGUCCUACGGGGGAAAGCAGGGGAUCUUCGGACCUUGCGCUAAUAGAUGAGCCUAAGUCGGAUUAGCUAGUUGGUGGGGUAAAGGCCUACCAAGGCGACGAUCUGUAGCGGGUCUGAGAGGAUGAUCCGCCACACUGGGACUGAGACACGGCCCAGACUCCUACGGGAGGCAGCAGUGGGGAAUAUUGGACAAUGGGCGCAAGCCUGAUCCAGCCAUGCCGCGUGUGUGAAGAAGGCCUUUUGGUUGUAAAGCACUUUAAGCGAGGAGGAGGCUCCUUUAGUUAAUACCUAAAGUGAGUGGACGUUACUCGCAGAAUAAGCACCGGCUAACUCUGUGCCAGCAGCCGCGGUAAUACAGAGGGUGCGAGCGUUAAUCGGAUUUACUGGGCGUAAAGCGUGCGUAGGCGGCUUUUUAAGUCGGAUGUGAAAUCCCUGAGCUUAACUUAGGAAUUGCAUUCGAUACUGGAGAGCUAGAGUAUGGGAGAGGAUGGUAGAAUUCCAGGUGUAGCGGUGAAAUGCGUAGAGAUCUGGAGGAAUACCGAUGGCGAAGGCAGCCAUCUGGCCUAAUACUGACGCUGAGGUACGAAAGCAUGGGGAGCAAACAGGAUUAGAUACCCUGGUAGUCCAUGCCGUAAACGAUGUCUACUAGCCGUUGGGGCCUUUGAGGCUUUAGUGGCGCAGCUAACGCGAUAAGUA
Molecule: ribosomal RNA, 814 nt
Filed under: uncultured Acinetobacter sp.
Lineage: Bacteria; Pseudomonadati; Pseudomonadota; Gammaproteobacteria; Moraxellales; Moraxellaceae
Description: bacterial SSU rRNA
Rfam family: Bacterial small subunit ribosomal RNA
Source: RNAcentral